GAUGAACGCUGGCGGCGUGCUUAACACAUGCAAGUCGAACGGAAAGGCUCCUGCUUUCUGGGGUACUCGAGUGGCGAACGGGUGAGUAACACGUGGGUGAUCUGCCCUGCACUUCGGGAUAAGCCUUGGAAACUGGGUCUAAUACCGGAUAGGACGAUGGUUUGGAUGCCAUUGUGUAAAGUUUUUUCGUUGUGGGGUGAGCUCGCGGCCUAUCAGCUUGUUGGUGUGGUAUUGGCCUACCAAGGCGUCGACGGGUAGCCGGCCUGAGAGGGUGUCCGGCCACAUUGGGACUGAGAUACGGCCCAGACUCCUACGGGAGGCAGCAGUGGGGAAUAUUGCACAAUGGGCGGAAGACUGAUGCAGCAACGCCGCGUGGGGGAUGACGGCCUUCGGGUUGUAAACUACUUUCGCUAGGGACGAAGCGCAAGUGACGGUACCUGGUGAAGAAGCACCGGCUAACUACGUG
This 466-nucleotide ribosomal RNA is filed under the name uncultured bacterium. RNAcentral describes it as "partial 16S ribosomal RNA". It matches the Rfam family "Bacterial small subunit ribosomal RNA", at positions 28 to 507 of the family's 1533-position model. The record is from RNAcentral.